GCAGUCGACAAGGAAGCUUCACGCAAGUCAUCGACCGGCCACAAGGAGGCCUUGCGUGAAGAAAAUUUAUCCUCGACCGCCUCAACAUGCAAGGACGUUGGACUUGCCGGUUCAAUACUCUUAUCUGGCCUGCACAUGGAUCAACAGCUUGACGUUUGAGCAAACCAAGAUUGUUCAUCGCCCUUUUUUGUUUUGUUUUAUGUUUGCAGCCAUC
RNAcentral lists this long non-coding RNA (214 nucleotides) under Hordeum vulgare. RNAcentral describes it as "long non-coding RNA (HVUL_LNC014840)". Lineage: Eukaryota; Viridiplantae; Streptophyta; Magnoliopsida; Poales; Poaceae. The record is from RNAcentral.